CCCCCCCCCCCUACAAAAUCUAUCUCGAACCGCCUCGGAGUCAGCCUUCCAGACACGUAUACAGGCUCAAACGGUCCUCUCCGACCGCCCGUCACCCCAGGGGUACAAGAGCGCUGACCCCCAGGCGGAGCCAAGCACCUCCAGCAAAAGUGGAAACGUUUCGACGCGUCCCAAUUCGUUGUUAGCGCUGAAGGGGGAAUGCAAAACAUGCCCACCCUGUUCAAUAAUAUCGUGCCUUCAUGUUCUUCAUUCAAGUCAUUAAGAUGUUAAAAAGAAUUUUGAAAUACAUUCCUUCAGUAAUCCUCAAAAUACUUCUGGUGAAGGAAGAAGAUCACUGACCAUGCUGAUAACUUGAAUGGAACACUACCUUUGCCUAGAAAUUUAGACUUAUGAAGAUAGAUAAUAGGUUGUGAGAAAUUUAUCUAUAAAAAAUGCUCACCUAGAUCUUACAAGACCAAUUUUAAGUGUGUUCUGGUUUAUACUGUUAAUGACUGCCAUAAACCUGCUACCUUUACCCAUUUCCUCUUUACUUUAUGGAGGGAGAUGUGGACUACCAAAAUUUUUCUGAUAUUUUGAUUCUUCCUCUGUCCUCUUCUCACAAUUGAUUACUAAAUAUGCUUAAACAACAGCAAAAAAAAAAAAAUAUCCUUUAAUGGUCUACUGAAUUAUCCUUCAACUAAGUAAAAAUUUGUGACAAGUGUGUGUUACUGCUAAGUUGCACGCUUUUGCAGUGUCAUUAAGUUAACUAGUGUUUCACUUUCUGCAAUCCAAAGAGAAGCAGAAUCUCACAUAAUUCAUUUGCCAAAUUGAUGACUGUCGUAUACAGUUUGGCCACCAGGUGACACUACCCUUGGACCACCAACCCAGGGGUUUCCUCAAAGGACAAUAGUGAACUUUGUGGGUAUUCCCAACAGCUCUAGCAUCUCCAUGGUUACCAGAGAUACUUGCUUUUAAGAGCAUUGUGACUUUGUAUCUUGAGCACUUUUUAGCAGAUGAGACAGUUCUGCUUAUCCUGAUUCCCGACUGAUCUAGGAAAAUGAAAAUGGAACAUUGAUUUGAAUUAUUAGUUAUACAUAUUUAUAUUUCCACUUCCAUCUUCUAUCUGGAGAGUUUCUUUAAGCUCAACUAUAUAGAGUCAUUCAGAAAGAAUUGUUAAAGACCAAUGAUGGGCUCAACACAGGGCUAAAUUCUAGGGAUAUAAAGAAAGCAGAAAACAACCUCUGCCCUCACAGAUCAAAUAGUUGAAUGGGAGGGAAGCAUGCAAACAAUCAUGUUUAAACGAGUUAUAUACAGACUAAAUUAGAGAUCCUCAACAAAGGACAAAAAGGAGGAAAAAGAGAAUCUGGUGUGAGAGGCACACACAAAAAAUUUGGGAGAUCUUGAAUUUGGAAAGGAGGCAAGUCUGUCAGCAGAAUGAAAUAGCGAGGUCAGAGACCGGUGCUAUAGGAGCCAAGAGAAUUUGAUGCUACUGUUCUGGGGUUGAUACUAUCAGGAGAGAAGACAUCUGAUAACCUUAAGAAGAAAGUCUAGAGAAAAAAAAAUUCGAGUCUGGCCAGUUCUUGAGGCAGGCAGAGGUCACUGUACCCCUAUCAUAGGACUUAAUUUCUUUCUCUUCAUGAAAGUUUCAAUAUAUCUGCUUCUCUUUCCCUCCCUCCCCUCACAGCUCCUGAGCAACUUCCCUUGCUUUAGUGCUUCUAUUUUAAUUGUACAAAUAAAAGGAACAAGAUGCUU
Molecule: long non-coding RNA, 1731 nt
Organism: Sarcophilus harrisii (Tasmanian devil)
Lineage: Eukaryota; Metazoa; Chordata; Mammalia; Dasyuromorphia; Dasyuridae
Exons: 3
Source: RefSeq, a predicted model, not a curated record